GUUCCUUCGGGGACAUUCAAUAAAAUUGAAACAGUAUAGAGAAGAUUAGCAUGGGCUCUGCACAAGAAGGACACGUACAAAUCGAGUAUGGCCCUGUACAA
Non-coding RNA from Capsicum annuum, 101 nucleotides. NCBI's taxonomy places the organism in Eukaryota, Viridiplantae, Streptophyta, Magnoliopsida, Solanales, Solanaceae. The record is from Rfam.